Molecule: long non-coding RNA, 408 nt
Filed under: Homo sapiens (human)
Lineage: Eukaryota; Metazoa; Chordata; Mammalia; Primates; Hominidae
Description: HSALNT0372490
Source: RNAcentral
UCCCCACAGAGGAGUUUGAAAUUCUUGCUUCAGGCCAUAUGGAGUGGAUAUUCCUUCCAGAAGGAAAUUACAGACCACUCUCUGUUUCUACUCAACUGCUUUUCACUCCAGGAUGCUUCACCUCUUGGGGCCUUCCCCAGCAGAGGCCCAGGAUCACCUGCAAAAGGCUUCCCCAAGGGUGGGGCCAGAAGCAGGGCUGCAGAUAUGUGUCCUGAACCUCCCAUGGACCCUGCUGGCUCCCUUCAAAGGCUUCGGGCAUAGCGACUUGCCUUUCCGUCUUGUUCAGUCGUCACCAGUCAGCCGUCUGCAGACUUCUCUCCCUCACGUUGUGGCAGAGGAGUUGUACAUUCUCUAGAUUUUAAAAAUAUAUAAGUUACUUUUUCUUUAAAAUAAAAAUUGUCUCUGAAA